AUACGGAGGGUGCAAGCGUUAAUCGGAAUUACUGGGCGUAAAGCGUACGUAGGCGGUUCGUUAAGUUAGAUGUGAAAGCCCCGGGCUUAACCUGGGAACUGCAUUUAAAACUGGCGAACUAGAGUUAAGUAGAGGGGAGUGGAAUUUCAGGUGUAGCGGUGAAAUGCGUAGAGAUCUGAAGGAACACCAGUGGCGAAGGCGACUCCCUGGACUUGAACUGACGCUGAGGUACGAAAGCGUGGGUAGCAAACGGGAUUAGAUACCCUAGUAGUCC
RNAcentral lists this ribosomal RNA (274 nucleotides) under uncultured bacterium. RNAcentral's name for it is "partial 16S ribosomal RNA". It matches the Rfam family "Bacterial small subunit ribosomal RNA", at positions 523 to 796 of the family's 1533-position model. The record is from RNAcentral.